UCCGAAAGUUCCUCAGACAAGCUUAUUUGACUGGAAUGUUUGGAGAAAGUGCUGUUGAUGAAGGAAUCAUAGCAAAGUGGGGGCAGAUGGAUUCCACUAACCAGCCGCGUAACCCCUUGGGCAAGGUAUUGUACCUCUCGGAGUGUCAGUUUCCCUUAUCUGCAAAUUGGAGCUGA
This 176-nucleotide long non-coding RNA is filed under the name Ursus thibetanus thibetanus. RNAcentral's name for it is "lncRNA (ENSUTTG00000005403.1)". Lineage: Eukaryota; Metazoa; Chordata; Mammalia; Carnivora; Ursidae. The record is from RNAcentral.